GAUGAAGAACGCAGCGAAAUGCGAUACGUAAUGUGAAUUGCAGAAUUCAGUGAAUCAUCGAGUCUUUGAACGCACAUUGCGCCCCCUGGUAUUCCGGGGGGCAUGCCUGUCCGAGCGUCAUUGCUGCCCUCAAGCACGGCUUGUGUGUUGGGCCUCCGUCCUCCUCCCGGGGGACGGGCCCGAAAGGCAGCGGCGGCACCGCGUCCGGUCCUCGAGCGUAUGGGGCUUCGUCACCCGCUCUGUAGGCCCGGCCGGCGCUUGCCGAUCAACCAAAACUUUUUUCCAGGUUGACCUCGGAUCAGGUAGGGAUACCCGCUGAACUUAAGCAUAUCAAUAAGCGGAGGA
This 345-nucleotide unclassified non-coding RNA is filed under the name soil metagenome. RNAcentral describes it as "partial contains 5.8S ribosomal RNA, internal transcribed spacer 2, and large subunit ribosomal RNA". The stretch from base 1 to 120 matches the Rfam family "5.8S ribosomal RNA", at positions 35 to 154 of the family's 154-position model. The record is from RNAcentral.